GCUUGUCUCAAAGAUUAAGCCAUGCAUGUCUAAGUAUAAACAACUUUGUACUGUGAAACUGCGAACGGCUCAUUAUAUCAGCAAUUAUUUAUUUGAUGGUUUCUUACUACAUGGAUAACCGUAGUAAUUCUAGAGCUAAUACAUGCGUAAAAUCCCGACUCUCGCGGGGAGGGAUGUAUUUAUUAGAUUAAAAGCCAAUGCGGGCUUCUGCCCGGUAUUGUGGUGAGUCAUAGUAACUUUUCGAAUCGCAUGGCUUCACGCCGGCGAUAGUUCAUUCAAAUUUCUGCCCUAUCAGCUUUCGACGGUAGUGUAGUGGACUACCGUGGCAUUUACGGGUGACGGAGAAUUAGGGUUCGAUUCCGGAGAGGGAGCCUGAGAAACGGCUACCACAUCCAAGGAAGGCAGCAGG
This 409-nucleotide ribosomal RNA is filed under the name uncultured Protaspa. Its description in RNAcentral is "partial small subunit ribosomal RNA". It matches the Rfam family "Eukaryotic small subunit ribosomal RNA", at positions 30 to 432 of the family's 1831-position model. Lineage: Eukaryota; Cercozoa; Thecofilosea; Cryomonadida. The record is from RNAcentral.